Molecule: ribosomal RNA, 805 nt
Filed under: uncultured archaeon
Lineage: Archaea
Description: bacterial SSU rRNA
Rfam family: Archaeal small subunit ribosomal RNA
Source: RNAcentral
CCGAUUUAGCCAUGCUAGUUGUACGAGUUCAGACUCGUAGCAGAUAGCUCAGUAACACGUGGCCAAACUACCCUCUGGACGCGGAUAACCUCGGGAAACUGAGGCUAAUCCGUGAUACGAUUCUCAGGCCUGGAAGUGGCGAGAAUCCGAAACGCUCCGGCGCCAGAGGAUGUGGCUGCGGCCGAUUAGGUAGACGGUGGGGUAACGGCCCACCGUGCCGAUAAUCGGUACGGGUUGUGAGAGCAAGAGCCCGGAGACGGUAUCUGAGACAAGAUACCGGGCCCUACGGGGCGCAGCAGGCGCGAAACCUCUACACUGCACGCUAGUGCGAUAAGGGGACUCCGAGUGCGAGGGCAUAUCGUCCUCGCUUUUCACUACCGUAAGGUGGUAGCAGAAUAAGUGCUGGGCAAGACCGGUGCCAGCCGCCGCGGUAAUACCGGCAGCACGAGUGAUGACCGCUCUUAUUGGGCCUAAAGCGUCCGUAGCUGGCCUCGCAAGUCCAUCGGGAAAUCCGCGCGCUCAACGCGCGGGCGUCCGGUGGAAACUGUGGGGCUUGGGACCGGAAGACCAGAGGGGUACGUCUGGGGUAGGAGUGAAAUCCCGUAAUCCUGGACGGACCACCGGUGACGAAAGCGCCUCUGGAAGACGGAUCCGACGGUGAGGGACGAAAGCUCGGGUCACGAACCGGAUUAGAUACCCGGGUAGUGCGAGCUGUAAACGAUGUCUGCUAGGUGUGCCACAGGCUACGAGCCUGUGGUGUGCCGCAGGGAAGCCGUGAAGCAGACCGCCUGGGAAGUACGUCCGC